The sequence is a regulatory RNA element, 56 nucleotides long. It matches the Rfam family "terC RNA". The record is from Rfam.
AGUGCGGGCCGGGCCCCUCUGGCGCUUCUGCGGAAGCGUGAUGUCGGACCGCAUCG